RNAcentral lists this ribosomal RNA (256 nucleotides) under uncultured bacterium. Its description in RNAcentral is "partial 16S ribosomal RNA". It matches the Rfam family "Bacterial small subunit ribosomal RNA", at positions 521 to 776 of the family's 1533-position model. The record is from RNAcentral.
UAAUACGUAGGGUGCGAGCGUUAAUCGGAAUUACUGGGCGUAAAGCGUGCGCAGGCGGUUGUGUAAGACAGUUGUGAAAUCCCCGGGCUCAACCUGGGAAUUGCAUCUGUGACUGCACAGCUGGAGUGCGGCAGAGGGGGAUGGAAUUCCGCGUGUAGCAGUGAAAUGCGUAGAUAUGCGGAGGAACACCGAUGGCGAAGGCAAUCCCCUGGGCCUGCACUGACGCUCAUGCACGAAAGCGUGGGGAGCAAACAGG